Long non-coding RNA from Gossypium raimondii (Peruvian cotton), 1357 nucleotides. RefSeq lists it as uncharacterized. The record is from RefSeq and is a predicted model, not a curated record. NCBI's taxonomy places the organism in Eukaryota, Viridiplantae, Streptophyta, Magnoliopsida, Malvales, Malvaceae. The transcript has 2 exons.
UAAGAUUCAUAAAUUUUUGACGUAAACUAGUUGUGGUGCAAGUUCAAUUCCUAAUAAAUACAUGUAAAAAAAAGUUUAUGUUUGUAAUGUUUUUCCGAAAUCUAUAUUUAUCGACAUAAUUCAUAACAAAAUUAUAUUUAUAAAUAUGGAAAGGGAUAGUAGUAAUGCAAAAACGACCGACUUGAAUGAGACAAAUCAGUUUGGGCACCCGGUGGCUCCAUUGUGGAUGUAGUCGGAAUCCGGAGGUGCAGAUCCUCUCGAACCCGAAUCAGUGAAAAAUCAGUUACUCUUCCGCACCCGAAAUGAGCCAAAAUUCACUGUAAGCAAAGCCAACCUAAAACUUCGCUACUUGCUUCGACUCUUUUCCUUCUUUCCUGCGUUUGAUUCAUUUAACCAUACACUCCGAUCGCAACUAAACUCUUCCAAUUCAAAUUCCACCAAAAAUCAACACAAUUCGAGCUUUUCCUGUCCUAAACUCAUUAGCAGAGAGCCCAAAGAGUGAUCGGAGUAGAAAGACAUCCGGUUUUGCGACAUGAUAACUCGGUCUAAACUCGUAGAGCAACUCAGAGAUUACCAGAUCCGAUCUCAAAACACCUACCCUGCUCUUAUCUUUUUCUCUCCCAAACCCCAUAUCGCUUCCCGGGCUGAUGUAGCUGUGGCUACUUUUUGGGCCUUCGCAUUUAGUGUGUUAGUCAUACUAUCCUACUUGUCCCUUUAUUUUAGGCACUACUGGCUUUCAUGUAUCCCAAUAUGCCUUGGUAUUUUCCUUCCCAUACGCUUGAGAGGUUGUAGGCAGACUGUGGUCAAGAAGAGAGAGAGAAAGUUUCUAUUACCCUUGUCCAUGUGAUCCGUUUUAAGCGCUGAAAGUAGUUUGAUUCAUCAUUUGAGCUGCCCGUGGAUGGCUUAUUACCUGUUUUAACAAAUGGGGCGAUUUCAGACAUUGACAAAAUUGAUCUUGGUCCGUAAGACUGUUGCCUACCUUCUUUUGAAGUAGAUGGUACAACUUAUUGUUCAUUUUUCUUCACAAAACCAUACUUGAAGCCCAUGGUCAUUUGCCAUACACUUUGAACCUGUAACAUUUGACAGUUCUGCAUACAACAAAAAGAACAAUAUGCCUAUAAAAUGAAAGCAAGAGAGAGAGGGAACAUUGAAGAAGAAAAGAAACCAUUUUCAGAUUGAAUUGGCAAGGGAGGUUGAAAGAAAAUUUGACAUUCUUUUAAGUGGUUGUAUGAAGCAAUAUGCUUCAGUUUUCUUGAGGGUUGACCUUGUUACCGAGUAUUAAUUAGUAUAAAUUCAUAACCUUGUUGAUUUUUCUUCUACUACACUCUCUUUUGAAUACACUGUUUUAGUUUAUGAA